This is a long non-coding RNA of Salvia miltiorrhiza (redroot sage), 370 nucleotides long. RefSeq lists it as uncharacterized. The record is from RefSeq and is a predicted model, not a curated record. NCBI's taxonomy places the organism in Eukaryota, Viridiplantae, Streptophyta, Magnoliopsida, Lamiales, Lamiaceae. The transcript is spliced from 3 exons.
AAGGCAGCGAAUCUGCCAUAAGCACACUGCUCCGGCAGUGUUUUGCAAGGCGAUUCCAGCCAUCCAAACGGUCCGGGCGACAGAAAGUGAAGCCGAAGAAGAAACGACUCCACGCCAGCUUUAAGAACAAUUGAGGUUGAGCUGUGAUGGGCGAUGAAGUGUUGUUGCUGAGUGGAGUUUUUGUCGAACUUAAAGUAGGCUCAGAAAGGGUACAUGUCUUCAUACAUGUAUCUCAGUUAUGCAUUCCGCUGUAAACACUGAUUAUUUCAGUUACGCCUUCCGUUGCAAACUCUGAUAAUAUUUUAGCCAAGCCCCUAACGAUGCCUUUUUCCUUUUAAGGAAUAUAACGCGUAUACAAGUUCUUUGAGUA